UGUAGGCGGUUCGGUAAGUUAAAGGUGAAAUGCCAGGGCUUAACCCUGGAGCUGCUUUUAAUACUGCCAGACUAGAGUCCGGGAGAGGAUAGCGGAAUUCCUAGUGUAGAGGUGAAAUUCGUAGAUAUUAGGAGGAACACCAGUGGCGAAGGCGGCUAUCUGGUCCGGUACUGACGCUGAGGUGCGAAAGCG
This 192-nucleotide ribosomal RNA is filed under the name uncultured Anaplasma sp. Its description in RNAcentral is "partial 16S ribosomal RNA". It matches the Rfam family "Bacterial small subunit ribosomal RNA", at positions 570 to 761 of the family's 1533-position model. The record is from RNAcentral. Lineage: Bacteria; Pseudomonadati; Pseudomonadota; Alphaproteobacteria; Rickettsiales; Anaplasmataceae.